RNAcentral lists this ribosomal RNA (425 nucleotides) under uncultured bacterium. Its description in RNAcentral is "bacterial SSU rRNA". It matches the Rfam family "Bacterial small subunit ribosomal RNA", at positions 356 to 773 of the family's 1533-position model. The record is from RNAcentral.
GGGGAAUAUUGGACAAUGGGCGCAAGCCUGAUCCAGCAAUGCCGCGUGGGUGAAGAAGGCCUGCGGGUUGUAAAGCCCUUUAAGCGGGGAGGAACAGCGGAUCAUAAAUAAUGUUCCGCAUUGACGUUACCCGCAGAAUAAGCACCGGCUAACUCCGUGCCAGCAGCCGCGGUAAUACGGGGGGUGCGAGCGUUAAUCGGAAUGACUGGGCGUAAAGGGUGCGUAGGCGGUACAAUCAGUCAGCCGUGAAAGCCCUGGGCUUAACCUGGGAAUGGCGGUUGAGACGGUUGAACUAGAGUGGACUAGAGGACUGUGGAACUCCCGGUGUAGCGGUGAAAUGCGUAGAGAUCGGGAAGAACACCGAUGGCGAAGGCAGCAGUCUGGGGUCACACUGACGCUGAGGCACGACGGCGUGGGGAGCAAAC